Oncorhynchus tshawytscha (Chinook salmon) is the source of this 764-nucleotide long non-coding RNA. The record is from Ensembl. Lineage: Eukaryota; Metazoa; Chordata; Actinopteri; Salmoniformes; Salmonidae.
UGGUGCUUUCUUCUGGUAACCCUUCCAAAGAGCCUGUGGUUGUGGAGGUGGAGUCUGAUGGUGCUUUCUUCUGCAACCCUUCCAAAGAGCCUGUGGUUGUGGAGGUGGCGUCUGAUGGUGCUUUCUUCUGGUAACCCUUCCAAAGAGCCUGUGGUUGUGGAGGUGGCGUCUGAUGGUGCUUUCUUCUGGUAACCCUUCCAAAGAGCCUGUGGUUGUGGAGGUGGAGUCUGACGGUGCUUUUUGAAACCUGGUGACCCCAAGAUGCCACCAAGGCCUGCACUUCUUUGACCGUUAUUAUUGGGGAUUUGUUUGCUUCUCUCCCCAUCCUCCUCCAUAUCCCCAGGGGGGGAAAAAUGCAUUUGCAUCCUCUAACCGUGAGGUUUAACUGUUCCAUAUCUUUAGAGGUUGUUUUAUAAUUGCCCUGACAGUGCUCAGUGAUAUAUGAAGGUCUUUGACCAGCUGUCUCUUUUGAACUGACAGUUAUUUUGUUGACAGCGGGAUAUUGCAUGCGUGUUUCCUCAUGUUUAUACCCUAGUGAAACAGGAAGUGAUGUAAUGGCUCAAUAUAGUUAUUUAAGACUUAGGUACGCGUAAAUAAGUGGAAUUUACUUCCUGGUUGAAUUUUGGUAGAUGUUACAAUAAUCUUUAAGGGUGCCAUUAAUUGUGGAACCUUGAUUUGGAGGGCAUUGAUUUUUAUUUAAAUCAAAUUGAUUUUGGUGGGUUCCAUUGAAACAUUAAUAAAGUCCAGUAUUUCUCACAUGUUGG